GUACUUACCUGGACGGGGUCUACAGCUGAUCAAGAAGGGUCAUGGCCUAGAUCAAUGGCCAACAUUGCACUUGGUUGGUGCGUUGGUCUACCAUCUCCCCAAGUGGGAGAGUGGACGUCGUAAUUUGUGGUAGAGGGGGUACGCGUCCGCGCGGCCCCUGC
Small nuclear RNA from Lolium rigidum, 161 nucleotides. RefSeq annotates it as U1 spliceosomal RNA. The record is from RefSeq and is a predicted model, not a curated record. NCBI's taxonomy places the organism in Eukaryota, Viridiplantae, Streptophyta, Magnoliopsida, Poales, Poaceae. The transcript has a single exon.